This 1266-nucleotide long non-coding RNA is filed under the name Homo sapiens (human). RNAcentral describes it as "HSALNT0121770". Lineage: Eukaryota; Metazoa; Chordata; Mammalia; Primates; Hominidae. The record is from RNAcentral.
GUGUGACCAUAUGGCUGGAGGAGGCUGGAAUUGUUUAUUUCCUUUGUUCCACAGGAAGACUAGAGCCAGCUGGAGUUGGUAAUUUUACUUCCUCCAAGUUCGUUAGGCACUGAUGAAACCCCAGCAGUUUAGGUUCUGGUUAAAUAGUUUCUCCUGAGGGCAGACUUUGUUAAGAAGAAUACAAUGCUCUGGCAUAUUUCAAAAUGGCACUUUUCCCUCCCUUGCUGUAAGCAUGGGGGCAUUUUUAAAAAUCUGCUAUUUGCUUUGAUAAACUGGUGGAGCUCUAGCAGGUAAAACUCGCAAAAGUAGGGGGCCCCUCAAUAACUGAAUCCCUCUGAAGUUUCAAACUCUCUGACUUGUCCACAUUGAGCUUCCAGCAAUUUGUUAAUUACAGUUCAGGUUUUUCCAGUUUGGCACUGGUUCCCUUGGAGGUUUCUGCUCAUGGGUUUCUGCUCUGCAGGUGAAAAUAUUGUGCCACUUCCUUAUAACCUCCAAAGUGUCUGAUGUGAAAUUGCUGUCAUUAGCAUGGAUUAUUUUCCCCCUAUAGUCAAAAGACACCGAAGGUCGUCGACACAGCAUCCAAAAAUGCUUCCUGGGGAAGAUGGACCAAGACGCUGCCGCGACAGGCUCCAAGAGGAAGAGUGGUAGCAGGCUAUAACACAGAGGAUAAUCUUGUCUCCAAAAGAGCAGAUUGGAUUUGAUGAGACUUAGCAAACCAGCCAUUCACCUGGGCAAGAUUGUCAAAAUUCAAACUUGAAUUGUGCAUAUUUUGAUGUGGAUGUUUUGAUGAGGCCUUUGGAAUCAGCAUGUACUUACACACACAAAGCAUCUUGAUUCAGAUGAGCCAUAUUUUGACUCCUUAGUAGCCACAGGAAGGUAGUGGCUCUGCUAUUGGACAGCACUGACCUGGGCUUUGGAGCCAAUAGAACAGGAAAUAUAUCUCCCUUGACAAUUGUAAAAAAAGAAAAUCUCAUGCAAAACCACUAAAUUCUUUGAUGAUCUCAUUUUUUAUUACAGGUUUUGUUUCUUUUUGAGUCAAUCUUUUCCUAGAUAUUAGUCUAUUCCAUUGAGAUUUUCAAAUUAUGUAUUUAAUAUUUGACAAUUUAUUCUUCUUUGAUCUAAAAACUCUCAUGCUUGUGGUUAUGUCCUAUUUUCCAUUCCUAAUUUCAUGAGACUAAGAGAUGUUAUGGCUAUACACUGUAACAAUAUGUUACUGAAGGAAAUAUACACAAGUCUCUUUUGGGGGCACUAAUUAUGAAUCUAUUU